GCGGACGUAACUCAAUUGGCUAGAGUCUCUGCCUUCCAAGCAGAAUGUUGCGAGUUCGAGUCUCGUCGUCCGCUCCA
RNAcentral lists this transfer RNA (77 nucleotides) under Aeromicrobium fastidiosum. RNAcentral describes it as "tRNA-Gly". It matches the Rfam family "tRNA". Rfam says of the family: Transfer RNA (tRNA) molecules are approximately 80 nucleotides in length. Their secondary structure includes four short double-helical elements and three loops (D, anti-codon, and T loops). Further hydrogen bonds mediate the characteristic L-shaped molecular structure. tRNAs have two regions of fundamental functional importance: the anti-codon, which is responsible for specific mRNA codon recognition, and the 3' end, to which the tRNAs corresponding amino acid is attached (by aminoacyl-tRNA synthetases). tRNAs cope with the degeneracy of the genetic code in two manners: having more than one tRNA (with a specific anti-codon) for a particular amino acid; and 'wobble' base-pairing, i.e. permitting non-standard base-pairing at the 3rd anti-codon position. Lineage: Bacteria; Bacillati; Actinomycetota; Actinomycetes; Propionibacteriales; Nocardioidaceae. The record is from RNAcentral. RNAcentral also lists the same sequence under 3 other names.